AGUUACGAACACGCCACCCUGAACAAGCCCGACCCUGUCUGAUCUCGGAAGCUAAGCAGGGUCGAGCCUGGUUAGUACUUGGAUGGGAAACCAUCUAGGAAGAGCAGGUGUUGUAGGUG
RNAcentral lists this ribosomal RNA (119 nucleotides) under Pteropus alecto (black flying fox). Lineage: Eukaryota; Metazoa; Chordata; Mammalia; Chiroptera; Pteropodidae. The record is from RNAcentral.